Molecule: unclassified non-coding RNA, 1234 nt
Filed under: Neorhizobium galegae
Lineage: Bacteria; Pseudomonadati; Pseudomonadota; Alphaproteobacteria; Hyphomicrobiales; Rhizobiaceae
Description: partial contains 16S ribosomal RNA, 16S-23S ribosomal RNA intergenic spacer, and 23S ribosomal RNA
Rfam family: Bacterial large subunit ribosomal RNA (bases 1103-1234)
Source: RNAcentral
UGCGGCAUCACCUCCUUUCUAAGGAAGCUGUGGAACGGUAAGACGACCGGCACAUGUCGCAAGACAUGGCCCGGUAUGAACCUUCCCGUGCUUUUUAGAACAAUAGAUGGCACCAGUCAGGUGACCAUCGAAACGCAAUACGCCACGGAAUGCUUUAAGCAUCGGAUGGUAUGGCGAACCCGCCGACUACGUUUCUCUUUCUUCAAAAGGAUAUGAACCAUUGGUUUGCGCUCACGCGUCUGUUCGCAUGUCUUCGACAUGCUGACGCUCCGCGAGGGCGCCGGACGACCGGCGACGGCCUCUGGCCUGUAUGGGUGCCUGCUUGCGGGCGCCUCGCUCGGCGAGAUGGGCCCGUAGCUCAGUUGGUUAGAGCACACGCUUGAUAAGCGUGGGGUCGGUAGUUCGAGUCUACCCGGGCCCACCAUUUUUGGUUCGCCAAUGUGGUUUGUUUGAUGGUUUACCUGAUCCUGGCGUUUGUUUCGUCAGGUGUUUGUGAUGGUUGGGGCUGUAGCUCAGCUGGGAGAGCACCUGCUUUGCAAGCAGGGGGUCAGCGGUUCGAUCCCGCUCAGCUCCACCAAUUCACUUUGGUGUCGAUGCUGUUGGUGUCGAGCCGGGCGGACAACGUAUCCUUUGAAGAAAUAAAAGUUUGCAUCACUUCGAUGAAGUGCUGCCUGUUCUGCAAAAAUCGUGAAGAGAAGAUUGAUCUGGAGGCUUCCAGGUAUGGGUUUAGGCCCAUGUCCGAAGCCGGUUCCAAUGAUGUCGUUGAUGGCCUAGCCGGCCGGAUGCGAAAGAGGGACCGGAAGAGGUAGGAAGCUUGUCACUCUGGUCGGUCGUUGUUGGUGUUCUGACCUUCGGGUUUGCGCAUCUCUGACGACUUGCUGAUGUCCGUUUGCUAACCGCGCGGACCCGGAUUUAAUCUCGAGAAGCUGGUCUUAAAGACAAGACUGCAAGCGGGUCGCUCGGCGUGACCCCAAUCAAGCAGGCUUGUCGAACACGUCGAUGGCAUCAUGAGAAGGGCUGGUUGUAAAAGGUAACCGGUCCGCCACGCAUGGGUCUGAAAGCCCGAUGGGUGGCUAUAUUGAUGAGCAUUGGCAAUGAGAACGAUUAAGUGUCGUAAGGGCAUUUGGUGGAUGCCUUGGCAUGCACAGGCGAAGAAGGACGUGAUACGCUGCGAUAAGCCGUGGGGAGCUGCGAAUGAGCUUUGAUCCAUGGAUCUCCGAAUGGGGAAACCCGG